GAUGAACGCUAGCUACAGGCUUAACACAUGCAAGUCGAGGGGAAACGGCAUCGAAAGCUUGCUUUUGAUGGGCGUCGACCGGCGCACGGGUGAGUAACGCGUAUCCAACCUGCCCAUCACUUGGGAAUAACCUUGCGAAAGUAAGACUAAUGCCCAAUGACAUCCCACGAAGGCAUCCGAAUGGGAUUAAAGAUUUAUCGGUGAUGGAUGGGGAUGCGUCUGAUUAGCUUGUUGGCGGGGUGACGGCCCACCAAGGCAACGAUCAGUAGGGGUUCUGAGAGGAAGGUCCCCCACAUUGGAACUGAGACACGGUCCAAACUCCUACGGGAGGCAGCAGUGAGGAAUAUUGGUCUAUGGGCGAGAGCCUGAACCAGCCAAGUAGCGUGCAGGAUGACGGCCCUAUGGGUUGUAAACUGCUUUUAUAAGGGAAUAAAGUGGGUCACGUGUGACUUUUUGCAUGUACCUUAUGAAUAAGGACCGGCUAAUUCCGUG
This 492-nucleotide ribosomal RNA is filed under the name uncultured bacterium. Its description in RNAcentral is "partial 16S ribosomal RNA". It matches the Rfam family "Bacterial small subunit ribosomal RNA", at positions 28 to 507 of the family's 1533-position model. The record is from RNAcentral.